UGCGCGUACGGAGGUGAAGGAGAGGAGAGCGAAGAGAAGUCGUGGGUGUGCAGUGCACGCGGGGUGUGUGUCAUUCCCACGCGUGCGGAGGAUUCGAGUGCCCGGACUGCCGCCCGGGUGGGAGCGUCGCUGGGGGACCAGGCUCCCGCGAGUCCCAGCGCGAGGAAAAGCCCAAAGAUAAGAUUGUAAGAAACGUUGAAGCCAUGUUUCGAAGACCUGUAUUACAGGUUUUCCAUCAGUUUGUGAGACAUGAGUCCGAAGUAGCUGCCAGUUUGGUUCUUGAAAGAUCACUGAAUCGUGUGCAGUUGCUUGGGCGAGUGGGUCAGGACCCUGUCAUGAGGCAGGUGGAAGGAAAAAAUCCAGUCACAAUAUUUUCUCUAGCAACAAAUGAGAUGUGGCGAUCAGGGGAGAGUGAAGUAUACCAAAUGGGUGAUGUCAGCCACAAGACAACAUGGCACAGGAUAUCGGUGUUCCGACCAGGCCUCAGAGAUGUGGCAUAUCAGUAUGUGAAAAAGGGGGCUCGAAUAUAUGUGGAAGGGAAAGUGGACUAUGGCGAAUACGUGGAUAAAAAUAAUGUGAGGCGGCAAGCAACAACAAUCAUAGCUGAUAACAUUGUAUUUCUGAGUGACCAGACAAGAGAGAAGGCAUAGAGCGGAUGGCCCUUCUUUGACUGUUCUUUGGUACCAUCUCCUUUCCAAAUCAUGUAUAGUCUAUAGUUUCCAAAGAUGAAG
Nannospalax galili (Upper Galilee mountains blind mole rat) is the source of this 731-nucleotide RNA transcript. It is a transcript of the gene named single-stranded DNA-binding protein, mitochondrial pseudogene, with no coding region annotated. The record is from RefSeq and is a predicted model, not a curated record. The transcript has a single exon. NCBI's taxonomy places the organism in Eukaryota, Metazoa, Chordata, Mammalia, Rodentia, Spalacidae.